AUUUUUUGUGAGAUAGAAAAUCCUACUAUAUUAUUUGGGAAGUACAUUUUAAAUAUAACCUUAAUUUUUGUAAGUAAUUACAUAGGUAUGCCAUUAGAAAUAAAAUUUUAAAGAGUAAAUUAAUUUAUCUCUUUAAAGAUUAAAAAGUAAAUUAAUUUAUCUCUUUAAAGAUUAAAAAGUCAAAUACUAAUUUAAUUAAUUAAAUUUAAUUAAAAAAACGAAAUACAUUAUUAAUUUUCAAAAAUAAUAACCAAUCAAAAUAAACAUAUAAGAUUUGAUAUCUAAAUUUUCACU
Molecule: small RNA, 294 nt
Filed under: Arabidopsis thaliana (thale cress)
Lineage: Eukaryota; Viridiplantae; Streptophyta; Magnoliopsida; Brassicales; Brassicaceae
Description: ATSL218090
Source: RNAcentral